CGCUCGCCAUGAAGAAGUUCUCUCGCAUGCCCAAGGCCGAGGGGAGCGGCGGCGGCGGGACGACGUGCGCUGGCUCCGGCGGCGCGGGCGGAGCGGCAGCCGCGGGCCGGGUGUUCGUGGUGGGACGGUACCAGGUCACCCUGGAGGAUCUGCUGGCGGAAGGUGGCUUUUCCACUGUGUUCCUGGUGCGUACCCAUGGUGGAGUACGCUGCGCACUGAAACGAAUGUAUGUUAAUAAUGUGCCUGACCUCAACAUUUGCAAAAGAGAAAUAACAAUUAUGAAAGAACUCUCUGGGCACAAGAAUAUUGUAGGCUAUUUGGAUUGUGCUGUUAAUUCUGUUAGUGACAAUGUGUGGGAGGUGCUCAUCUUAAUGGAAUUUUGUCGAGCGGGGCAAGUCGUGAAUCAGAUGAAUCAGAGACUUCAGACAGGCUUUACUGAGCCAGAAGUACUGAGGAUAUUUUGUGACACCUGUGAAGCUGUUGCCAGGUUGCAUCACUGCAAAACGCCAAUAGUUCACCGGGACCUGAAGGUAGAGAAUAUUUUGUUGAAUGACAAUGGAAACUAUGUCCUUUGUGACUUUGGCAGUGCCACUAACAAAUUCCUUAAUCCUCAGAAAGAUGGUGUUAAUGUAGUUGAAGAAGAAAUUAAAAAGUAUACAACACUGUCAUACAGAGCUCCUGAAAUGAUCAAUCUUUAUGGCGGAAAGCCAGUUACUACCAAGGCAGAUAUCUGGGCACUUGGCUGCUUGCUGUAUAAACUUUGUUUCUUCACACUUCCCUUUGGGGAGAGUCAGGUUGCUAUUUGUGACGGAAAUUUUACCAUUCCAGACAAUUCCCGAUAUACCCAUAAUGUACAUUGUUUGAUAAGGUACAUGCUUGAACCAGAUCAAGAACGGAGACCCGAUAUCUUUCAAGUAUCUUAUUUUGCCUUUAAACUUGCCAAAAAGGAAUGUCCAUUGUCCAAUAUUAAUAAUUCUCCUGUCCCUUCAACUCUUCCUGAACCCAUGACAGCUAGUGAGGCGGCUGCUAGAAAAAGCCAAAUAAAAGCCAGAAUAACGGAUGCUGUUGGACCAACAGAAACCUCAAUUGCACCACGACAAAGACCAAAGGCCAAUUCAAGCACUGCCACUUCUAAUGUGCUAACUAUCCAGAGUUCAGCAACACCAGUAAAAGUAUCGGUUCCUGGUGAAUUCGGUAACUGUGUGCAAAAAGGAACCAUCAGACCAGGAAAUGGACAAGAGAUCUUGUCUCAAGGGACCAAUCAGCACCCUCCACAACAAAAUAGAGUACUGCAGCAACUGCAGCAGGGGGACUGGAGAUUGCAGCAACUGCACCACUUACAUCAGCAGCACCAGCAACAAUUACUUCAGGAUGCUUACAUGCAACAGUAUCAACAAGCAAUGCACCAGCAAAUGGUCCAACAACAACUUAUGAUGCAAUCUAUGUACCAACAGCAACCGUCCCCAUCCCAGUAUCCUGCCAUGGUGCAACAAUACCAGCAAGCUCUCUUACAUCAGCGGAUCCUUGCACAGCAACAUCAACAGCAACCUCAACAUCCACAGUCUCCUGAGUAUCUUACCUCUCCUCAAGAGUUCUCACCAGCCUUAAUUUCCUACUCUGCAUCACUUCCUGCUCAUGUUGGAGCAGUGAUGGAUUCUCCUUAUACGGCCAAUAGCUCAGUCGUUCCUGAUGCAGAGGCCGUUUCCAGUUACCCAAAGCAGAACAUCAGUAACCCACCUGAUAUGUCAGGCUGGAACCCAUUUGGAGAGGACAAUUUCUCCAAGCUAACAGAGGAGGAGCUACUGGACAGAGAAUUUGACCUUCUGAGAUCAAACAGGCUCGUGGAGAGGAGAGCAUCCUCAGAUAAGAAUGUGGAGCCACAUUCUGCUCCACAGAACCAUCCUUCUGAAGAUCCCUUUGGUUCUGUACCUUUCAUUUCUCACCCAGGUUCUCCAGGAAAGGCACUUGACAACUCAGCCAGCAACCAAGAAAAUAAUUUAGGGAGCCCAAACAAGGCUGAAAAAUCAAGUCAAGCCUCUCGAGAGCACCAUCAAGGAAGAAAAACUUCAGGGGGACAAGUGCAGAAAGGAAGUGAUGAGUCAGAGAGUGACUUUGAAUCUGAUCCUCCUUCUCCCAAGAGCAGUGAGGAAGAUGAAGAGCAGGAGGAUGAAGAUGUCUUACAGGGGGAGCAUGGAGACUUUAAUGAUGACGAUACAGAACCUGAGAACUUUGGCCAUCGGCCUCUCCUUAUGGACUCUGAAGAUGAGGCGGAGGAAGAGGAGGAAGAAAAGCAGAGUUCUGAUUCCGAUUCCGAUCGCACCAAGGGAAAGCCCAUGGAAGGGAUCCCUUGUGGUAGAUACAGAGAGGUGGGUGGCAGUCGUGAAGACAGAGAACCCAAUGUAGCACUCUCUUCCUUGUCUGAGUUACCCAGUACUGUGGCCAAGGUGAGCCCUGGCCAAGAAUUUGAUGUGUUUGGAGCUGUCCCCUUCUUCGCUUUUCAGACUCAGCAACCUCAGCCAAGAGAAAAGAGUGACACGGAUUUCUCUCCUCAGCCUGCUUUUCUUGGCCUGAGGCAAGAGCAGGAUGACUUUGAUGUCUUCACCAAAGCCCCAUUCAACAAGAAGGUGGCCCAGCCAGAUGGCCCGGAUGUAGGAGCUGAGACCCAAACCUCCCCUACUUCUCCCCGAAGUGUGGAUAUUUUUGGCUGCACCCCUUUCCAGCCUCUUCCCACCCCAAAGAGCAGUGAAAGCAGAGAGGACCUCUUUGGGCUUGUCCCCUUUGAGGAGAUUACAGGGAGCCAGCAGCAACAGAAGGUGAAGCAGCAGCGGAAUCUGCAGAAACUCUCCUCCCGGCAAAGACGCAUGAAACAGGAGGUGCCCAAAAGCAAUGGGAAGCGCCACCAUGGCACCCCGACCAGCACCAAGAAGGCUUUGAAACCCAGCUACCGCACCCCAGAGAGAGCCCGCAGGCACAAAAAAACGGGCCGCAGGGACUCCCAAAGCAGCAACGAAUUCCUAACUAUCUCAGACUCCAAGGAAAACAUAAGCGUUGCAUUGACUGACAGCAAAGAUCGAGGCAACCCUUUGCAAGCGGAUGAGAAUCUGCUGGACCCUUUUGGAGCCAAACCUUUCCACCCACCAGACUUGAUGCGGAACCCACAGCAUCAAGGACUGGGUGACAACCGGGGGGACCAUAAUAUAGUAGUGCCUGGUAGACCUAGACAGAGCUCCCUGCAUGGGGCUGUUCACAGUGGUGAUGGGCUAAAAACAGAUGACUUUGGUGCGGUGCCCUUCACAGAACUGGUUGUGCAGAGUGUAACACCACAGCAAGCCCCACAGCAACAGGCAUUAGAGUUAGAUCCAUUUGGGGCAGCUCCAUUUCCUUCCAAACAGUAAAUGCUUCCACCAGACUAUUUCUCGUUCUCUGCACUAUUUAACUUUGCUUUUAAAUAGUGGAAUAAUCCAUCUGGCUGAAUUGACAGGAAACUGAUUUUUCGUACAGUUUAUUCAGCCUCGGUACUGCAUGCCCAGCGCGCCUCAAAAUUUUUAAAUCAUGUGUUUUUGUAUUGUACAAAACACCGAGAAAAAGUUGGACAGCACGUUUCCAGAGCAGAAGAGGAAUCAGAUGUGAGCUAUUUUAGCCACUGACUUUGGAGCCAUGAAAUAUACUGUUCUGCACUUUUGCAUGGCCUUUCCGCUCAUAGGCAAGGGGGAAAACCAUGGAAGAAGGUCUGCCGUGAUGCAUCCAGUUAGUCUGAUGGAAUGGAAUCCUUCUAUGAUACAAACCUUUGACUCUCUCGGAGACCUGAGAUAAUAUGUAUGUGCUGGUAUCCAUCAUCUGCUGGAAAUUCUUCAGUCUCCACCGUCUAAAUGAAAGCUCUUUUCUAAUCCUAACAAAGAAACCUACUCAAAGGAUUGUGUGUGUCAAGAUUUCAGAGCAUGGUGGUGGCUUGAGAACUGAUGCACAAGUAGAGGUGGAAGGCAAUUUUUGUGUGCCUAAACAUUAAUUUUUUUACACCACAAUCAUUUUCAUGUGACUGGAAAAGAGAAUAUGAACAAAAGCCACUAAAAAUGCCAGGGAGACAUGAGAAAAAUGCCAGGGGGCUGAUACCAGGUUAUUUUUCUACAGUACUUCUUUCACAAGGAAAAUCAAAUAAUUGUGUGUAUACUAAGUUUGUUUGUGUGACUAGGGCAUCCUCUAAUAGUAAACAGCCUACAAGCUAUUUUUAAAUUGCUGGCCUACAGCUUUAAGUGCACUUUUCUGAAUUACACUUCCAUUUCUUGUUAGACUUGAAGUUUCUAAAGCUUUUUUGUGUACCACUAAACAGAGAACUUUAAUUUUUCUGUGAACUUGAUGUACAUCAUAAAAUACUUGCGAUUGUUAUUAAAAAAAAUAAUCAAAUGUGAUAGUGAUUUUGCAGACCUUCUUAAACAACUAAUUGUGCAGUAUCAUAUUCCUGAUGAGCUGCAGUUAACGCUCAUCACUAAUUGAGUUUUAUAGCAUUUGACCUUUUCACUGUUACAGACUUGAUUUUGGUCCCUAGUUCGUUCUGUUUGAAAUAUUAUUUUUUUCUAUUGUUUAUCAUAUCAGCUGCCUAAUAAUCUGCUUUCUCUUAAAGCAAUAAAUCCCAGUGGAUUAAACAUUCUUUUAU
RNA transcript from Trachemys scripta elegans, 4651 nucleotides. It is a transcript of the gene named BMP2 inducible kinase, with no coding region annotated. The record is from RefSeq and is a predicted model, not a curated record. Lineage: Eukaryota; Metazoa; Chordata; Testudines; Emydidae. The transcript has 17 exons.